RNAcentral lists this ribosomal RNA (1323 nucleotides) under Staphylococcus aureus W45757. Its description in RNAcentral is "bacterial SSU rRNA". It matches the Rfam family "Bacterial small subunit ribosomal RNA", at positions 8 to 1312 of the family's 1533-position model. The record is from RNAcentral. Lineage: Bacteria; Bacillati; Bacillota; Bacilli; Caryophanales; Staphylococcaceae.
AGAGUUUGAUCCUGGCUCAGGAUGAACGCUGGCGGCGUGCCUAAUACAUGCAAGUCGAGCGAACGGACGAGAAGCUUGCUUCUCUGAUGUUAGCGGCGGACGGGUGAGUAACACGUGGAUAACCUACCUAUAAGACUGGGAUAACUUCGGGAAACCGGAGCUAAUACCGGAUAAUAUUUUGAACCGCAUGGUUCAAAAGUGAAAGACGGUCUUGCUGUCACUUAUAGAUGGAUCCGCGCUGCAUUAGCUAGUUGGUAAGGUAACGGCUUACCAAGGCAACGAUGCAUAGCCGACCUGAGAGGGUGAUCGGCCACACUGGAACUGAGACACGGUCCAGACUCCUACGGGAGGCAGCAGUAGGGAAUCUUCCGCAAUGGGCGAAAGCCUGACGGAGCAACGCCGCGUGAGUGAUGAAGGUCUUCGGAUCGUAAAACUCUGUUAUUAGGGAAGAACAUAUGUGUAAGUAACUGUGCACAUCUUGACGGUACCUAAUCAGAAAGCCACGGCUAACUACGUGCCAGCAGCCGCGGUAAUACGUAGGUGGCAAGCGUUAUCCGGAAUUAUUGGGCGUAAAGCGCGCGUAGGCGGUUUUUUAAGUCUGAUGUGAAAGCCCACGGCUCAACCGUGGAGGGUCAUUGGAAACUGGAAAACUUGAGUGCAGAAGAGGAAAGUGGAAUUCCAUGUGUAGCGGUGAAAUGCGCAGAGAUAUGGAGGAACACCAGUGGCGAAGGCGACUUUCUGGUCUGUAACUGACGCUGAUGUGCGAAAGCGUGGGGAUCAAACAGGAUUAGAUACCCUGGUAGUCCACGCCGUAAACGAUGAGUGCUAAGUGUUAGGGGGUUUCCGCCCCUUAGUGCUGCAGCUAACGCAUUAAGCACUCCGCCUGGGGAGUACGACCGCAAGGUUGAAACUCAAAGGAAUUGACGGGGACCCGCACAAGCGGUGGAGCAUGUGGUUUAAUUCGAAGCAACGCGAAGAACCUUACCAAAUCUUGACAUCCUUUGACAACUCUAGAGAUAGAGCUUUCCCCUUCGGGGGACAAAGUGACAGGUGGUGCAUGGUUGUCGUCAGCUCGUGUCGUGAGAUGUUGGGUUAAGUCCCGCAACGAGCGCAACCCUUAAGCUUAGUUGCCAUCAUUAAGUUGGGCACUCUAAGUUGACUGCCGGUGACAAACCGGAGGAAGGUGGGGAUGACGUCAAAUCAUCAUGCCCCUUAUGAUUUGGGCUACACACGUGCUACAAUGGACAAUACAAAGGGCAGCGAAACCGUGAGGUCAAGCAAAUCCCAUAAAGUUGUUCUCAGUUCGGAUUGUAGUCUGCAACU